CGAAAGCCUGACGGAGCAAUACCGCGUGAGGGAGGAAGGCUUUUGGGUUGUAAACCUCUUUUUUCAAGGAAGAAGCACGUGACGGUACUUAUUGAAUAAGCAUCGGCUAACUCCGUGCCAGCAGCCGCGGUAAUACGGAGGAUGCAAGCGUUAUCCGGAAUCAUUGGGCGUAAAGCGUCCGCAGGCGGCCGAUCAAGUCUGCUGUUAAAGCGUGGAGCUUAACUCCAUAAUGGCAGUGGAAACUGAUUGGCUGGAGUGUGGUAGGGGCAGAGGGAAUUCCCGGUGUAGCGGUGAAAUGCGUAGAUAUCGGGAAGAACACCAGUGGCGAAGGCGCUCUGCUGGGCCAUAACUGACGCUCAUGGACGAAAGCCAGGGGAGCG
This 380-nucleotide ribosomal RNA is filed under the name uncultured cyanobacterium. RNAcentral describes it as "bacterial SSU rRNA". It matches the Rfam family "Bacterial small subunit ribosomal RNA", at positions 376 to 770 of the family's 1533-position model. The record is from RNAcentral. Lineage: Bacteria; Bacillati; Cyanobacteriota.